Long non-coding RNA from Ailuropoda melanoleuca (giant panda), 988 nucleotides. RefSeq lists it as uncharacterized. The transcript is spliced from 6 exons. Lineage: Eukaryota; Metazoa; Chordata; Mammalia; Carnivora; Ursidae. The record is from RefSeq and is a predicted model, not a curated record.
CACGGAUCGACGCCACCAGGGGGCAGGGCCAUGGGCUCCCGGCUGGGCGGGGUCUCAGACUGUGCCCCCCCCCCGCCCCGCCCCGCCCCGGCUGGCUGCGGCUGCUGGCUGGACUCUACAUUCAGGCUGCCAGGCAUCUGUGGCCAUGCUUCCCAGAGGGGCGAGACAGGAGGCUACGCCCCGCAGUUGGGCGGGAUGGUGAAUUUGCAGAGAUGUGGGAUGCGCUCCGUAUCGGGUUCAGCCCAGGGACCCAACUCUGUGGUCGAGCCCUGUGGGUUCCUCCGGUGAUCUCCAUGAGGCAAGACCCAGUGGGCUUCCCCAGAAGCGUCCCACAGCAUUGGAGAGGGGAACACACAAGCAAAUCAAAACCCGCAGCCUUUGGGCAAGAAGAGCGGAGGAGCGCCACCUAGCGGCCCCGGCAAGUCCUGCUCCUGAUCAGUCUGGGAGGGGAGACGAAGACUCACUUCUCACGGAGAGGGUCAGAAACUGGAGGCUUCGAGGAGUGCCAAAGGACAGUGCCUUCCACAUGCUCAAAACAGAGGCAAGCCUGAGUCUGGAUGAGACCAAACCUGGAUUCCUCAUGUGUCGCUGAUAUUCCUGGAAAGCAGAGAUAGAAGCAUCAUCAGGGCACCAAACACAGUCCCCCUGAUGACUCCAUCAUGUCCUGUUUGGAGGUGGGCCCCUCGUGUGCACACAGCACCAGCGGGAGUGUGUCCGACCGCUACACGUGGGUGUGCAAUCAGCUGGAGCCAAUACCCUGCUAACAGGCUCUAUACCCAACAUGGGGCUCCAAUCCACGGCCCUGAGAUCAAGAGUCACAUGCUCCACAGACUGAACCAGUCAGGACCCCUAACCAAGUUUAAAAUGUACCUACUUAAGGUCGCCUGGGUGGCACAGCGGUUAAGCGUCUGCCUUCGGCUCAGGGCGUGAUCCCGGCGUUAUGGGAUCGAGCCCCACAUCGGGCUCCUCUGCUAUGAGCCUGCUUCUU